This is a long non-coding RNA of Microtus ochrogaster (prairie vole), 543 nucleotides long. RefSeq lists it as uncharacterized. The record is from RefSeq and is a predicted model, not a curated record. NCBI's taxonomy places the organism in Eukaryota, Metazoa, Chordata, Mammalia, Rodentia, Cricetidae.
GGGGACGCGGGGCUCGGAGGCACGAUCAGAGGGGGUGAAGAAAAGGAGAAAGGAGAAACGGGCCCCGGAGGAAAGUUAAAAGAGAAGAAACGCGCAGAAGGCCGUGGAGUUCUCCAGCUGCGGCGGAGGAAGGACAAUCCAUGUUGGUCAUCUAAAGCCGGAGCUUAGAAGUCAGCUGCAGCUAAGAAGAGACCAGCAUCAUCGAGGAACAGGACAGCACUUGGAAACUGGGGACCAGAGGGAGCCAAGGCUGCUCACUAUGCUGGCAGCUAAAGAUGGAGUCCACAGUUGAGAGACUUUGAACUUCUAAAGGUAUUUAGGGAAGAGCACACUGGGCUGUCCAGUGCCGCAGGACCAACCCUGAAAACAUACAUACAAGUAGCACUACAGACUGAACAGCCUCAAUAUGUCUUCCACCCAGAGGGGCCUCCUUGUGAAGACUGCCCAGACCUCUGAGAGUUCAUUCCCAGCUGCCCUGUCCGCCGGUCAUCUAGUGAUGAUUUUCUUUGUAUGGAACACAAGCAAACAAGGAAACCCGGGGCU